RNAcentral lists this ribosomal RNA (467 nucleotides) under uncultured bacterium. Its description in RNAcentral is "partial 16S ribosomal RNA". It matches the Rfam family "Bacterial small subunit ribosomal RNA", at positions 28 to 507 of the family's 1533-position model. The record is from RNAcentral.
GACGAACGCUGGCGGCGUGCUUAACACAUGCAAGUCGAACGGAAAGGCCCCAGCUUGCUGGAGUACUCGAGUGGCGAACGGGUGAGUAACACGUGGGUAAUCUGCCCUGCACUCUGGGAUAAGCCUGGGAAACUGGGGCUAAUACUGGAUAUGACCUUUCUCCUUAUGGGGUUUGGUGGAAAGUUUUUCGGUUUAGGAUGGGCCCGCGGCCUAUCAGCUUGUUGGUGGGGUGAUGGCCUACCAAGGCGACGACGGGUAGCCGGCCUGAGAGGGUGAUCGGCCACAUUGGGACUGAGAUACGGCCCAGACUCCUACGGGAGGCAGCAGUGGGGAAUAUUGCACAAUGGGCGGAAGCCUGAUGCAGCGACGCCGCGUGAGGGAUGACGGCCUUCAGGUUGUAAACCUCUUUCAGCAGUGACGAAGCGUAAGUGACGGUACCUGCAGAAGAAGCACCGGCUAACUACGUG